RNAcentral lists this unclassified non-coding RNA (200 nucleotides) under uncultured Agaricales. RNAcentral describes it as "sequence contains ITS2". The record is from RNAcentral. Lineage: Eukaryota; Fungi; Basidiomycota; Agaricomycetes; Agaricales.
AAUUCUCAACCUUGCUCGCUUGAGUUUGGCUUGGAUGUGAGGGCUUUGCUGGCUUCCUUCAGUGGAUGGUCUGCUCCCUUUAAAUGCAUUAGUGGGAUCUCUUGUGGACCGUCACUUGGUGUGAUAAUUAUCUAUGCCUUGGGACUUUGAAGCAAACUAAUGGGAACCUGCUUAUAACCGUCUUCGGACAAUCUCUGACA